RNAcentral lists this ribosomal RNA (274 nucleotides) under uncultured bacterium. Its description in RNAcentral is "partial 16S ribosomal RNA". It matches the Rfam family "Bacterial small subunit ribosomal RNA", at positions 523 to 796 of the family's 1533-position model. The record is from RNAcentral.
AUACGGAGGGUGCAAGCGUUAAUCGGAAUUACUGGGCGUAAAGGGCGCGUAGGUGGUUAGGUCAGUCGGAUGUGAAAGCCCCGGGCUCAACCUGGGAAUGCCAUUCGAUACUGCCUAACUAGAGUAUGGUAGAGGGAAGCGGAAUUCCGGGUGUAGCGGUGAAAUGCGUAGAUAUCCGGAGGAACACCAGUGGCGAAGGCGGCUUCCUGGAUCAAUACUGACACUGAGGCGCGAAAGCGUGGGGAGCAAACAGGAUUAGAAACCCCGGUAGUCC